This 211-nucleotide long non-coding RNA is filed under the name Elaeis guineensis (African oil palm). RNAcentral's name for it is "long non-coding RNA (EGUI_LNC010714)". Lineage: Eukaryota; Viridiplantae; Streptophyta; Magnoliopsida; Arecales; Arecaceae. The record is from RNAcentral.
UCAACCCAACAAGGAUCGUUGAUCCGAAAAUAAUUCUAGUGAGUUCUCACAAUCCACCAGUGACGUUUAGCAGCAUGUAAUGAUAAUCCAGUAAAACAAAAAAAUCUGAACCUCUAGGUGCAGUUACCAUGCGAUAUAGUUCUUUUAUCGUAAGUCCUGACUAGACGGAGGUCAUGGAGAACCUGUCAAAUUUCAUCAUCAGUCAUAUGCC